This 254-nucleotide ribosomal RNA is filed under the name uncultured bacterium. Its description in RNAcentral is "partial 16S ribosomal RNA". It matches the Rfam family "Bacterial small subunit ribosomal RNA", at positions 524 to 776 of the family's 1533-position model. The record is from RNAcentral.
UACGUAGGGUGCAAGCGUUGUCCGGAAUUAUUGGGCGUAAAGAGCUCGUAGGCGGUUGGGCAAGUCACGUGUGAAAUCUCCACGCUCAACGUGGAGGCGCCACGUGAGACUGCCCUGACUCGAGUCCGGUAGGGGAGCGUGGAAUUCCCGGUGUAGCGGUGAAAUGCGCAGAGAUCGGGAGGAACACCCGUAGCGAAGGCGGCGCUCUGGGCCGGUACUGACGCUGAGGAGCGAAAGCGUGGGGAGCAAACAGG